GUUGACCUCGGAUCAGGUAGGAAUACCCGCUGAA
RNAcentral lists this ribosomal RNA (34 nucleotides) under Colletotrichum acutatum. RNAcentral's name for it is "partial 28S ribosomal RNA". The record is from RNAcentral. RNAcentral also lists the same sequence under 45 other names. Lineage: Eukaryota; Fungi; Ascomycota; Sordariomycetes; Glomerellales; Glomerellaceae.